GCAACCCCGGUUCAGUGGCGGACGGGUGCGUAACACGUGAGGAACAUGACUUUCGGUGGGGGAUAGCCGGCCCAACGGCCGGGUAAUACCGCGUACGACCUUUCGGGGACAUCCCCGGUUGGUGAAAGCAGCAAUGCGCCGAAAGAGUGCCUCGCGGCCUAUCAGCUAGUUGGUGGGGUAACGGCCCACCAAGGCGACGACGGGUAGCUGGUCUGAGAGGAUGGCCAGCCACAUUGGGACUGAGACACGGCCCAGACUCCUACGGGAGGCAGCAGUGGGGAAUAUUGCGCAAUGGGCGAAAGCCUGACGCAGCGACGCCGCGUGUGGGAUGACGGCCUUCGGGUUGUAAACCACUGUCGGAAGGGACGAAUGCCCCGCAAGGGGAGUGACGGUACCUUCAAAGGAAGCACCGGCUAACUCCGGUGCCAGCAGCCGCGGUAAUACGGAGGGUGCGAGCGUUGUCCGGAAUCACUGGGCGUAAAGGGCGCGUAGGCGGCCUGAUAAGUAGGGGGUGAAAUCCUGCGGCUUAACCGCAGGGCUGCCUUCUAAACUGUCAGGCUCGAGCACAGUAGAGGCAGGUGGAAUUCCCGGUGUAGCGGUGGAAUGCGUAGAGAUCGGGAAGAACAUCAGUGGCGAAGGCGGCCUGCUGGGCUGUUGCUGACGCUGAGGCGCGACAGCGUGGGGAGCAAACAGGAUUAGAUACCCUGGUAGUCCACGCCGUAAACGAUGGACACUAGGCGUCGGGGGGAGCGACCCUCCCGGUGCCGUCGCUAACGCAGUAAGUGUCCCGCGUGGAGUACGGCCGCAGGGCUGAAACUCAAAGGAAUUGACGG
Molecule: ribosomal RNA, 833 nt
Filed under: uncultured Gemmatimonadota bacterium
Lineage: Bacteria; Pseudomonadati; Gemmatimonadota
Description: bacterial SSU rRNA
Rfam family: Bacterial small subunit ribosomal RNA
Source: RNAcentral